RNAcentral lists this long non-coding RNA (1346 nucleotides) under Parus major (Great Tit). Its description in RNAcentral is "lncRNA (ENSPMJG00000011345.1)". Lineage: Eukaryota; Metazoa; Chordata; Aves; Passeriformes; Paridae. The record is from RNAcentral.
CCUGUAUCAGCUCCAUCAGAAGCACCAUGCUGCUCUAGAGGGACAGACAAACCAGAAGUGAGACACCAGAGAUACCAAGUGCUAUCUUUGAAAAAUGGACUUUUAAAAAACAUCCCCAUCCAGAAGUGCAUGAACACAGAUGAAGAAGAGGCAUCAGCCUGUGUAACAUCUCAGAUGGCUGUGGAAGGUGACAGAAAGAAGCAAGACUUGACAGACAGUGAAGGAGCCGUGCAGAUGGGAGUGGAUGCUCUGGGGAACAUUCUAAUGUUGAAAACAUUUACAGGUGAGUUGGAGCAUCUUCUUUCAGUCCUCGAUGUGCUUCACCAAAGAGGCUGCAGAUGACUCAUUUUGGCAGUUAACACAAAGCAGUGUUCCCAAAUUCCUGCUCAGUGUCUAGUCACUACAAAUUCCCUUUUUUUGCUAGCCCAUGGAAUUCAUUAGCUAUUUAUUUAUUUCCUUACUUACUGACUUCAACAAAAGCACAUAUUAAAUGUAGUUUAAUAAUAUCCUAAAAUGUUAAUUUUCUAUGUUCUAAACAAACAGAAUAUUCAUUCAAUCUGUGUGCCCAGUCAGAGAUGCAGUGGAUACAUAAUUUUUACAGGUAUAUUUAAUGUAUCUCUUCCAAUUUCUGGGAUGCUUCUUUACAUGUUAACUUUACACCCCUACUUAUCUGUUCUCCCCUUUUCUUCUGUCUAGACUUAAACAGUGAGAAGACAUUACAUGACUAAAAUGAAGUAGCUCAAAGAAAAAUUCACCAAUGCCCCAAAUCCACCAAAAAUGCCCCAAAGAAAGGGCAAGCUGACUUGGAAAACCAGGAGCCAUCUCUACUCCUACCAGCUGGAGCUUCUCCCACUUCUACAGCCAUUAAAGUUAUGAAAUGUUUGGAUGUUUUACUAAUUCUAUUAAGAAGCAGAAAGGCUGUUCCCACCAUGACCAGAAAAUGAAACAGCAGCAAUCACACGGGAAAACGCUCAACUUCCCAGACUCAGCGGUUUUAUUAGUGCAAAUACCCUCCAGACAGACAGCCACACAUUUUCCUGCUUCCUUACACUGAACCCUAAUUCAGCCUGGGGUGGCUAAGCUGGUGCUACUAACCUUCUUCUCCAGCUCAUUUCACCUGCCGGAAGGAGUGGCCUGCUGAUGAGGAUUUUGACCAAGGAUUCUAACACAUUUGUUGUUUAUUUUGUCUCUCUUUCUUUUGUGGAUUGCCUGAGUAACUUUGGGCAAGUUGUUGGUGUCCCAGCUCCCCAGCUAUGAAAUGGAAAUAGUAUGCUGAAAAACUGCAUCAAGAAAGUUAAUUUUGAUGAACCUGGUAUAUGCUGCUAAUAAAAAUUUUGGAAACACCA